AAGAACCCCGGCGAGGGGAGUGAAAAAGAACCUGAAACCGUGUACGUACAAGCAGUGGGAGCACCCUUUGGGUGUGACUGCGUACCUUUUGUAUAAUGGGUCAGCGACUUAUAUUCUGUAGCAAGGUUAACCGAAUAGGGGAGCCGGAGGGAAACCGAGUCUUAAUUGGGCGUUAAGUUGCAGGGUAUAGACCCGAAACCCGGUGAUCUAGCCAUGGGCAGGUUGAAGGUUGGGUAACACUAACUGGAGGACCGAACCGACUAAUGUUGAAAAAUUAGCGGAUGACCUGUGGCUGGGGGUGAAAGGCCAAUCAAACCGGGAGAUAGCUGGUUCUCCCCGAAAGCUAUUUAGGUAGCGCCUCGUGAAUUCAUCUCCGGGGGUAGAGCACUGUUUCGGCUAGGGGGCCAUCCCGGCUUACCAACCCGAUGCAAACUGCGAAUACCGGAGAAUGUUAUCACGGGAGACACACGGCGGGUGCUAACGUCCGUCGUGAAGAGGGAAACAACCCAGACCGCCAGCUAAGGUCCCAAAGUCAUGGUUAAGUGGGAAACGAUGUGGGAAGGCCCAGACAGCCAGGAUGUUGGCUUAGAAGCAGCCAUCAUUUAAAGAAAGCGUAAUAGCUCACUGGUCGAGUCGGCCUGCGCGGAAGAUGUAACGGGGCUAAACCAUGCACCGAAGCUGCGGCAGCGACACUGUGUGUUGUUGGGUAGGGGAGCGUUCUGUAAGCCUGUGAAGGUGUGUCGUGAGGCAUGCUGGAGGUAUCAGAAGUGCGAAUGCUGACAUAAGUAACGAUAAAGCGGGUGAAAAGCCCGCUCGCCGGAAGACCAAGGGUUCCUGUCCAACGUUAAUCGGGGCAGGGUGAGUCGACCCCUAAGGCGAGGCCGAAAGGCGUAGUCGAUGGGAAACGGGUUAAUAUUCCCGUACUUGGUGUUACUGCGAAGGGGGGACGGAGAAGGCUAUGUUGGCCGGGCGACGGUUGUCCCGGUUUAAGCGUGUAGGUGUGUGUUCCAGGUAAAUCCGGUUCACUUUAACACUGAGGCGUGACGACGAGGCACUACGGUGCUGAAGCAACAAAUGCCCUGCUUCCAGGAAAAGCCUCUAAGCAUCAGGUAACAUCAAAUCGUACCCCAAACCGACACAGGUGGUCAGGUAGAGAAUACCAAGGCGCUUGAGAGAACUCGGGUGAAGGAACUAGGCAAAAUGGUGCCGUAACUUCGGGAGAAGGCACGCUGACACGUAGGUGAAGUGAUUUACUCAUGGAGCUGAAGUCAGUCGAAGAUACCAGCUGGCUGCAACUGUUUAUUAAAAACACAGCACUGUGCAAACACGAAAGUGGACGUAUACGGUGUGACGCCUGCCCGGUGCCGGAAGGUUAAUUGAUGGGGUCAGCGCAAGCGAAGCUCCUGAUCGAAGCCCCGGUAAACGGCGGCCGUAACUAUAACGGUCCUAAGGUAGCGAAAUUCCUUGUCGGGUAAGUUCCGACCUGCACGAAUGGCGUAAUGAUGGCCAGGCUGUCUCCACCCGAGACUCAGUGAAAUUGAACUCGCUGUGAAGAUGCAGUGUACCCGCGGCAAGACGGAAAGACCCCGUGAACCUUUACUAUAGCUUGACACUGAACAUUGAGCCUUGAUGUGUAGGAUAGGUGGGAGGCUUUGAAGUGUGGACGCCAGUCUGCAUGGAGCCGACCUUGAAAUACCACCCUUUAAUGUUUGAUGUUCUAACGUGGACCCGUUACCCGGGUUGCGGACAGUGUCUGGUGGGUAGUUUGACUGGGGCGGUCUCCUCCUAAAGAGUAACGGAGGAGCACGAAGGUUGGCUAAUCCUGGUCGGACAUCAGGAGGUUAGUGCAAUGGCAUAAGCCAGCUUGACUGCGAGCGUGACGGCGCGAGCAGGUGCGAAAGCAGGUCAUAGUGAUCCGGUGGUUCUGAAUGGAAGGGCCAUCGCUCAACGGAUAAAAGGUACUCCGGGGAUAACAGGCUGAUACCGCCCAAGAGUUCAUAUCGACGGCGGUGUUUGGCACCUCGAUGUCGGCUCAUCACAUCCUGGGGCUGAAGUAGGUCCCAAGGGUAUGGCUGUUCGCCAUUUAAAGUGGUACGCGAGCUGGGUUUAGAACGUCGUGAGACAGUUCGGUCCCUAUCUGCCGUGGGCGCUGGAGAACUGAGGGGGGCUGCUCCUAGUACGAGAGGACCGGAGUGGACGCAUCACUGGUGUUCGGGUUGUCAUGCCAAUGGCACUGCCCGGUAGCUAAAUGCGGAAGAGAUAAGUGCUGAAAGCAUCUAAGCACGAAACUUGCCCCGAGAUGAGUUCUCCCUGAGACUUAAAGUCUCCUGAAGGAACGUUGAAGACGACGACGUUGAUAGGCCGGGUGUGUAAGCGCAGCGAUGCGUUGAGCUAACCGGUACUAAUGAACCGUGAGGCUUAACCUUACAACGCCGAAG
Molecule: ribosomal RNA, 2438 nt
Filed under: Salmonella enterica subsp. enterica serovar Enteritidis
Lineage: Bacteria; Pseudomonadati; Pseudomonadota; Gammaproteobacteria; Enterobacterales; Enterobacteriaceae
Description: bacterial LSU rRNA
Rfam family: Bacterial large subunit ribosomal RNA
Source: RNAcentral